This 301-nucleotide ribosomal RNA is filed under the name uncultured bacterium. Its description in RNAcentral is "partial 16S ribosomal RNA". It matches the Rfam family "Bacterial small subunit ribosomal RNA", at positions 509 to 807 of the family's 1533-position model. The record is from RNAcentral.
CAGCCGCCACGGGAAUACGUAGGGUGCGAGCGUUAAUCGGAAUUACUGGGCGUAAAGCGUGCGCAGGCGGUUAUAUAAGACAGAUGUAAAAUCCCCGGGCUCAACCUGGGACCUGCAUUUGUGACUGUAGAGCUAGAGUACGGUAGAGGGGGAUGGAAUUCCGCGUGUAGCAGUGAAAUGCGUAGAUAUGCGGAGGAACACCGACGGCGAAGGCAAUCCCCUGGACCUGUACUGACGCUCAUGCACGAAAGCGUGGGGAGCAAACAGGAUUAGAUACCCCGGUAGUCCCUGUCUCUUAUAC